Lolium perenne is the source of this 1958-nucleotide non-coding RNA. NCBI's taxonomy places the organism in Eukaryota, Viridiplantae, Streptophyta, Magnoliopsida, Poales, Poaceae. The record is from RefSeq and is a predicted model, not a curated record.
UUGCCAUCGACAAAACAGUGGGUACUCCAAUUCUCCAAGUGCUCCAUCUCAAGUUGUUGGUUGUGAUGGUUAACAGGAUCGAAGAAGCAACAGGGUUUUCAGCUGAGACUGUUAGCCUAAAUAUAAUCUUGUCAUGGUGUGACCUGCAUACGUAGGUUGUGUGCUUGCUGUGUGUGAGAACAGGGCACAUGAGUUGUGUGCAGCUGUCUUCAAGUUGGCUUUGACUAGCAGUCUCCAAGUUGGAUUUGACUAGUAGAAGCCAACUAGACAUUAGUUGUCUAGGUCGGUUAUUGUAGCACCGACUUAAAGCCUCUAUAUAAGGAGAGGCACCCCAUAUGGAGAGUAAGUUGUAAGCCAAGAUGUAGCAUAUGUUGCUAUAUAAUAGUGAAAGAGCAUUUGUUGCUCAAGCAAGUUUCUCCCCUGUUCUCCUUGCUCAUGUGUGUGUCCACUAAGAAUGAGCUGAGAGAUUGAGAGAAGGCUGCACCCAACAUUUAGUAUGGGUAGGAGCUAACAAUUGGUAUCAGAGCCUCAUGGUUCGGGGCCAUGGCAAGCGGUGAGUCUGCGGCGACAUGGAGGCGCACGGCGGCAUGGAGGCGCUGCACAGCAGUAUGGAGGCUGCGGCGGCCGUGGCGCAGCGGCCUCAUACCAGCACUAGAGCACCGGGUUGGGAGAUGUCAGGCGAUCGUCGAAAAGCCGCGACACCACCACCUCUCUAGCAGCGGCGUGCGUCCGCAACCCCUCCUCCGGCAAACGAGCGACGGCGAUCGCCAAGUCGGGGACGGAGCAGGGUGCGACACGGCGGGGGCGAGGUCGUGGUACAGCGGGAGGUGAUCCGCGAGAUGACUAGCGGCGGAGGCGGCGGUACGAGCCUCGUCUUCCCGAUGCUCAAGCACGGAGACUACACCAACUGGGCCAUGGUGAUGGAGGUGAACCUGCAGGCGGCAUCGCUCUGGGACGCAAUCGAGGACGCCGCAGUCUCAGCAAGAGGACAAGCAGGCCUUGGCGGCACUGCUCCGCAUCUAGGUUGUACGUGGCCAUGGCGGGUGUUCCGGGUGGAGGCUUGAGAGGCAACGACGAUGGUGGUGACCAAGGUUUGGUUGCGGCAAGGUCAUGUUAGUUGGCUCCGUUCCGGCGUGUCUGAAUGUCUUCGUGGUGGUCUCCUCUUGCUGCGAAGUCGAAGCUGCCCUAGGGCGGUGUACGAUGACCUUCGAGGGGCGGUCCGGUGAAGGCCUUUUUCGGCACUUGUCUUGCGCAUCCCCUCUCCGAGGCUCGUCUUCAGAAUCGGAGCUGCCGGUCUCUCCUCGAAGAGCCAUCUGUUUGGCAUAGGCCGACUUGAGCUUCUUAGCUUUUGUGGGUAGCCAGGGUGGCUAGGUGUGCCCAUGGCGGGUGUGCCCAGCUUGUAUGUAUCCGGUCCACGUCGUGCGUCUGAGCGCGUUGGUGAUCUGUUGAAGGCCUGCGGCGUUGUGCGUGUUGGAGCGCGUUGUGCGUGCGGCCGGUAUGUGCGGAUCAAGCAGCCAAGUGCGCGUCUCAAGAUGAAGUGGCAGGAAGAAGUUGCGGCGUUGGUCGCCGUUGAACAAGGAGAUCCUGGAGACAAGGAAGAAGAUGACAAGAUUAGGGGGGUGAUUGUUAGCCUAAAUAUAAUCUUGUCAUGGUGUGACCUGCAUACGUAGGUUGAGUGCAGGCUGUAGUGUGAAUAGCACACGUAGGUUGUGUGCUUGCUGUGUGUGAGAACAGGGCACAUGAGUUGUGUGCAGCUGUCUUCAAGUUGGCUUUGACUAGCAGUCUCCAAGUUGGAUUUGACUAGUAGAAGCCAACUAGACAUUAGUUGUCUAGGUCGGUUAUUGUAGCACCGACUUAAAGCCUCUAUAUAAGGAGAGGCACCCCAUAUGGAGAGUAAGUUGUAAGCCAAGAUGUAGCAUAUGUUGCUAUAUAAUAGUGAAAGAGCAUUUGUUGCUCAA